RNAcentral lists this transfer RNA (85 nucleotides) under Undibacterium hunanense. Its description in RNAcentral is "Undibacterium sp. CY18W tRNA-Leu". It matches the Rfam family "tRNA". From Rfam's summary of the family: Transfer RNA (tRNA) molecules are approximately 80 nucleotides in length. The record is from RNAcentral. Lineage: Bacteria; Pseudomonadati; Pseudomonadota; Betaproteobacteria; Burkholderiales; Oxalobacteraceae.
GUGCAUGUGGUGGAAUUGGCAGACACGCUAGCUUCAAAAGCCGGUAUUGAAAAAUGUGGGGGUUCAAGUCCCUCCAUGCACACCA